RNAcentral lists this non-coding RNA (105 nucleotides) under Mycobacterium heraklionense. Lineage: Bacteria; Bacillati; Actinomycetota; Actinomycetes; Mycobacteriales; Mycobacteriaceae. The record is from RNAcentral.
CUGCGUUAGGCUGGCCGCCGUCUCGUGGCGUCAGGAACCCGGUGCGAAUCCGGGGCGGUUCCGCCACUGUGUUAGCCAGAUACUGGCCGCGGGACAUCCGACUAU